AGAGUUUGAUCCUGGCUCAGAACGAACGCUGGCGGCGUGGAUAAGACAUGCAAGUCGAACGGGUUUAGUUCGGUAGCAAUACUGGAUUGAGCCAGUGGCGAACGGGUGCGUAACACGUGAGUCAUCUGCCUGAAAGUGGGGGAUAGCUCGCCGAAAGGCGAAUUAAUACCGCAUGUGCCCCGAAGCAAUUCGGGGUAAAGCCGGGGUAACCUGGCGCUUUUAGAGGAACUCGCGGCCUAUCAGCUUGUUGGUAAGGUAACGGCUUACCAAGGCUUCGACGGGUAGCUGGUCUGAGAGGACGACCAGCCACACUGGAACUGAGACACGGUCCAGACACCUACGGGUGGCAGCAGUCGAGAAUUUUUCUCAAUGGGGGAAACCCUGAAGGAGCGACGCCGCGUGGAGGAUGAAUGCUUUCGGGUUGUAAACUCCUGUCAUUUGGGAACAAAGCCUUACGUUAACUGCGUGGAGGUUUGAUAGUACCAGAAGAGGAAGAGACGGCUAACUCUGUGCCAGCAGCCGCGGUAAUACAGAGGUCUCAAGCGUUGUUCGGAUUCAUUGGGCGUAAAGGGCGCGUAGGCUGCGGGGCAAGUCGGGUGUGAAAUCUCAGAGCUCAACUCUGAAACUGCACUCGAUACUGCUUUGCUUGAGGACUGGAGAGGAGAUUGGAAUUCACGGUGUAGCAGUGAAAUGCGUAGAUAUCGUGAGGAAGACCAGUGGCGAAGGCGGAUCUCUGGACAGUUCCUGACGCUGAGGCGCGAAGGCCAGGGGAGCAAACGGGAUUAGAUACCCUAGUAGUCC
This 801-nucleotide ribosomal RNA is filed under the name uncultured bacterium. Its description in RNAcentral is "bacterial SSU rRNA". It matches the Rfam family "Bacterial small subunit ribosomal RNA", at positions 8 to 796 of the family's 1533-position model. The record is from RNAcentral.